Molecule: ribosomal RNA, 492 nt
Filed under: uncultured bacterium
Lineage: Bacteria
Description: partial 16S ribosomal RNA
Rfam family: Bacterial small subunit ribosomal RNA
Source: RNAcentral
AGUGAACGCUGGCGGUAGGCCUAACACAUGCAAGUCGAACGGCAGCACAGUAAGAGCUUGCUCUUACGGGUGGCGAGUGGCGGACGGGUGAGGAAUACAUCGGAAUCUACUUUUUCGUGGGGGAUAACGUAGGGAAACUUACGCUAAUACCGCAUACGACCUACGGGUGAAAGCAGGGGAUCUUCGGACCUUGCGCGAUUGAAUGAGCCGAUGUCGGAUUAGCUAGUUGGCGGGGUAAAGGCCCACCAAGGCGACGAUCCGUAGCUGGUCUGAGAGGAUGAUCAGCUACACUGGAACUGAGACACGGUCCAGACUCCUACGGGAGGCAGCAGUGGGGAAUAUUGGACAAAGGGCGCAAGCCUGAUCCAGCCAUACCGCGUGUGUGAAGAAGGCCUUCGGGUUGUAAAGCCCUUUUGUUGGGAAAGAAAAGCAGCAGGUUAAUACCCCGCUGUUCUGACGGUACCCAAAGAAUAAGCACCGGCUAACUUCGUG